This 432-nucleotide ribosomal RNA is filed under the name uncultured bacterium. RNAcentral describes it as "partial 16S ribosomal RNA". It matches the Rfam family "Bacterial small subunit ribosomal RNA", at positions 29 to 506 of the family's 1533-position model. The record is from RNAcentral.
AGCGAACGCUGGCGGCAGGCCUAACACAUGCAAGUCGAACGAACUCUUCGGAGUUAGUGGCGGACGGGUGAGUAACACGUGGGAACGUGCCUUUUGGUUCGGAAUAACUCAGGGAAACUUGUGCUAAUACCGAAUGUGCCCUUCGGGGGAAAGAUUUAUCGCCAUUAGAGCGGCCCGCGUCUGAUUAGCUAGUUGGUGAGGUAACGGCUCACCAAGGCGACGAUCAGUAGCUGGUCUGAGAGGAUGACCAGCCACACUGGGACUGAGACACGGCCCAGACUCCCACGGGAGGCAGCAGUGGGGAAUCUUGCGCAAUGGGCGAAAGCCUGACGCAGCCAUGCCGCGUGAAUGAUGAAGGUCUUAGGAUUGUAAAAUUCUUUCACCGGGGACGAUAAUGACGGUACCCGGAGAAGAAGCCCCGGCUAACUUCGU